UACGAAGGGGGCUAGCGUUGCUCGGAAUUACUGGGCGUAAAGGGCGCGUAGGCGGACAGUUUAGUCAGAGGUGAAAGCCCAGGGCUCAACCUUGGAACUGCCUUUGAUACUGACUGUCUUGAGUUCGGGAGAGGUGAGUGGAAUGCCGAGUGUAGAGGUGAAAUUCGUAGAUAUUCGCAAGAACACCAGUGGCGAAGGCGGCCGACUGGUCCGGUUCUGACGCUGAGGCGCGAAAGCCAGGGGAGCGAACGGG
Molecule: ribosomal RNA, 253 nt
Filed under: uncultured bacterium
Lineage: Bacteria
Description: partial 16S ribosomal RNA
Rfam family: Bacterial small subunit ribosomal RNA
Source: RNAcentral